CCUACGGGAGGCAGCAGUGAGGAAUAUUGGUCAAUGGCCGGAAGGCUGAACCAGCCAUGCCGCGUGAAGGUCAGUGCCCUAUGGGCGUUAAACUUCUUUUGUGCGGGAGCAAUAAUGGUCACGUGUGGCCAGACGAGAGUACCGUACGAAUAAGCAUCGGCUAACUCCGUGCCAGCAGCCGCGGUAAUACGGGGGAUGCAGGCGUUAUCCGGAUUUCUUGGGUUUAAAGGGUGCGUAGGCGGUGAGGUAAGGCAGCGGUGAAAGUUUGCGGCUUAACCGUAAAAUUGCAAUUGAUACUGGCGGCCUUGAGUACAGUUGAGGUAGGCGGAAUUCGUGGUGUAGCGGUGAAAUGCUUAGAUAUCACGAAGAACUCCGAUUGCGAAGGCAGCCUACUAAACUGCCACUGACAUUGAUGCUCGAAAGUGUGGGUAUCAAACAGGAUUAGAUACCCGGGUAGUC
This 459-nucleotide ribosomal RNA is filed under the name uncultured bacterium. RNAcentral describes it as "partial 16S ribosomal RNA". It matches the Rfam family "Bacterial small subunit ribosomal RNA", at positions 338 to 795 of the family's 1533-position model. The record is from RNAcentral.